AACUGAUACUACCUGCGGGAACCUGCGGAAGGAUCAUUACAGAGUGUAACCCCCUGUAAAAUGGGGGUACCUCCCGUCCUUUGCAGGCCCUUUAGGGUCUUUUACACUUUGCUUCGGUGGGGUAACCCACCGGAACACUCUCAAAAAAUUCUGAUUUUAAAAUUGUUCAGUCUGAGAAUUUUGAAAAUAAAAUAAAAACUUUCAACAACGGAUCUCU
Molecule: unclassified non-coding RNA, 217 nt
Filed under: soil metagenome
Description: partial contains 5.8S ribosomal RNA, internal transcribed spacer 2, and large subunit ribosomal RNA
Source: RNAcentral